UAUAAAAAUUAACUGGGUGUAGUGGUGGCAUGCACCUGUAGUUCCAGCUACUCAGGAGGCUGAGGCUCAGGAACACAGCACCCUCAGGCAGUGGCUGUGCCACUGACUGGGUUCCUGAAGUGGGUGCCGCACCCACUUCCUGCCAUGGGCCCCUAUAGCGAGGCCCAGCUCUAUGUCCUGGACCAGGCCUCUGCACUUCAUUUGCAAGUGUGGCACCAUCCCAAACCCAGCUCUGCUUCAGGGACCCUCUCUGCCUGACCAUACUGCUCCCCCACCAGCAGGUGACUCAUCCUGGCCCGAGGGCAGCGGGCUCCAGGGAAUGUCCACCUCCUCCCCAUGCCCUCCUCAUGGCAGCAGCAGGUGAGAGUGGCAACAUGGGGCCAGGGUCCAGAGCAGCAGAGGCUCUGGGCUGUGAGCAGAUCCCACUUGGCCAUGUGAGAGUGGGAGUGGUACAGUCGGUUGCCUCAGGGAUGUGGGCAACAGGGGUCCCCUCACCACCACUGCUGCUGCUACAGCUGCUCCUGCUGCCAUGCUCCCACCUCCCCGCUGUAGCCAGCACAGUGGCAGUGUCCACUCUAGGCAGACU
This 586-nucleotide long non-coding RNA is filed under the name Homo sapiens (human). Its description in RNAcentral is "non-protein coding lnc-SDR9C7-1:1". The record is from RNAcentral. Lineage: Eukaryota; Metazoa; Chordata; Mammalia; Primates; Hominidae.